Molecule: unclassified non-coding RNA, 432 nt
Filed under: Hevea brasiliensis (rubber tree)
Lineage: Eukaryota; Viridiplantae; Streptophyta; Magnoliopsida; Malpighiales; Euphorbiaceae
Source: RNAcentral
GUAACCCCUUGUAUAAACUCUAUAUUUUAUUGGUUUUAGAGCACCCAACAAGUAGGUAGUUGUGUUCAUUGAUAAAAAGUAUCAAGGGCAACGAUAACAAACUAUUGAUCAACAAUUUGAGACAAUUUAUGCGUUAUUUCCAAUUUCCAGGAAAGUGAGGUUGCCCGCUUCUUUAGAGAACGACAAAUUAUUCGCAGAACAAAUACUGGCAACAAUUCUCAUCUACAACUACAAGACGGCUAUUCACCAUGAUACCUAAAAUCCGGUAAAAAGCUAGAUACUCGCACAUACCCACAAAAUCCCAUCGCCUACACUUAUACUCUGAUCAUCAAAACCACCAGAGUCUAAAAUAUCACAUCCAUCUCAAAAAAAGAAUAGUACCCAAAAACCCAAAUCCAACAAAACAACCAGAAUCAAGUAACUAAAACAAAC